GCGGCGGACGGGUGAGUAACACGUGGGUAACCUGCCCAUAAGACUGGGAUAACUCCGGGAAACCGGGGCUAAUACCGGAUAACAUUUUGAACUGCAUGGUUCGAAAUUGAAAGGCGGCUUCGGCUGUCACUUAUGGAUGGACCCGCGUCGCAUUAGCUAGUUGGUGAGGUAACGGCUCACCAAGGCAACGAUGCGUAGCCGACCUGAGAGGGUGAUCGGCCACACUGGGACUGAGACACGGCCCAGACUCCUACGGGAGGCAGCAGUAGGGAAUCUUCCGCAAUGGACGAAAGUCUGACGGAGCAACGCCGCGUGAGUGAUGAAGGCUUUCGGGUCGUAAAACUCUGUUGUUAGGGAAGAACAAGUGCUAGUUGAAUAAGCUGGCACCUUGACGGUACCUAACCAGAAAGCCACGGCUAACUACGUGCCAGCAGCCGCGGUAAUACGUAGGUGGCAAGCGUUAUCCGGGAUUAUUGGGGCGUAAAGCGCGCGCAGGUCGGUCUUCUUAAGUCUGAUGUGAAAGCCCCACGGCUCAACCGUGGAGGGUCCAUUGGCAAACUGGGGAGACUUGGAGUGCAGAAGGAGGAAAGGU
This 592-nucleotide ribosomal RNA is filed under the name Bacillus thuringiensis. RNAcentral's name for it is "bacterial SSU rRNA". It matches the Rfam family "Bacterial small subunit ribosomal RNA", at positions 95 to 664 of the family's 1533-position model. Lineage: Bacteria; Bacillati; Bacillota; Bacilli; Caryophanales; Bacillaceae. The record is from RNAcentral.